UCAUCUUCCCCCUCGUCUGUGACUCUAUCUCUCUUACUCCUUCGUCACCUGAAAGUCUGAGAAUUUCCAUGGGUGUUCGUUAACAAUGUUUGAUAUUGCUUAGAGUUGAAAAAAAAGCCCUGCAUGUUCAGACUACUGCAAUUAAAAUCAGGUACUCGUGUGGAGUAUAUUCUUUAAAAUUUGUUCAGUAUCUGAUCAGGAGGAUUCCUCUGUCACGUUUUAAAAAGGAUUAUCUUCAUCGAUAUCGUCGCGAAUUUGCUAUACUGUUGUUCAAGAGACAUUCCAUACAGUUAUCAUCUGACUAGAAGUAUGGACGGUGUUGGGUUCUCAGACCUGUAAAUAUUUUUUGGACGGCUGUUUUCCUCAGGAGUGUCCUAGGGUCGUCUUGGGCCCUGUUUUCUGUACAAGUAUCUGUGGAAUUUUGUUGUCCGUUUUCUCCAGGAGUGUCCUAGAGUCAUUUUGGCCCCUGUUUUUUGUACAUGUAUCUGUGGAUAUUUUGUUCAUGAUGUAUACAUUCCGAAAGGUUUUGCCAAGUUUCUUUCA
Papaver somniferum (opium poppy) is the source of this 543-nucleotide long non-coding RNA. RefSeq lists it as uncharacterized. The transcript is spliced from 3 exons. The record is from RefSeq and is a predicted model, not a curated record. Lineage: Eukaryota; Viridiplantae; Streptophyta; Magnoliopsida; Ranunculales; Papaveraceae.